GACGAACGCUGGCGGCGUGCCUAAUACAUGCAAGUUGAGCGCUGAAGGUUGGUACUUGUACCAACUGGAUGAGCAGCGAACGGGUGAGUAACGCGUGGGGAAUCUGCCUUUGAGCGGGGGACAACAUUUGGAAACGAAUGCUAAUACCGCAUAAAAACUUUAAACACAAGUUUUAAGUUUGAAAGAUGCAAUUGCAUCACUCAAAGAUGAUCCCGCGUUGUAUUAGCUAGUUGGUGAGGUAAAGGCUCACCAAGGCGAUGAUACAUAGCCGACCUGAGAGGGUGAUCGGCCACAUUGGGACUGAGACACGGCCCAAACUCCUACGGGAGGCAGCAGUAGGGAAUCUUCGGCAAUGGACGAAAGUCCGACCGAGCAACGCCGCGUGAGUGAAGAAGGGUUUCGGAUCGUAAAACUCUGUUGGUAGAGAAGAACGUUGGUGAGAGUGGAAAGCUCAUCAAGUGACGGUAACUACCCAGAAAGGGACGGCUAACUACGUG
Molecule: ribosomal RNA, 497 nt
Filed under: uncultured bacterium
Lineage: Bacteria
Description: partial 16S ribosomal RNA
Rfam family: Bacterial small subunit ribosomal RNA
Source: RNAcentral